UGCAUAUCAAUAAGCGGAGGAAAAGAAACCAACCGGGAUUGCCUUAGUAACGGCGAGUGAAGCGGCAAAAGCUCAAAUUUGAAAUCUGGUACCUUCGGUGCCCGAGUUGUAAUUUGGAGAGGGCAACUUUGGGGCCGUUCCUUGUCUAUGUUCCUUGGAACAGGACGUCAUAGAGGGUGAGAAUCCCGUGUGGCGAGGAGUGCGGUUCUUUGUAAAGUGCCUUCGAAGAGUCGAGUUGUUUGGGAAUGCAGCUCUAAGUGGGUGGUAAAUUCCAUCUAAAGCUAAAUAUUGGCGAGAGACCGAUAGCGAACAAGUACAGUGAUGGAAAGAUGAAAAGAACUUUGAAAAGAGAGUGAAAAAGUACGUGAAAUUGUUGAAAGGGAAGGGCAUUUGAUCAGACAUGGUGUUUUGUGCCCUCUGCUCCUUGUGGGUAGGGGAAUCUCGCAUUUCACUGGGCCAGCAUCAGUUUUGGUGGCAGGAUAAAUCCAUAGGAAUGUAGCUUGCCUCGGUAAGUAUUAUAGCCUGUGGGAAUACUGCCAGCUGGGACUGAGGACUGCGACGUAAGUCAAGGAUGCUGGCAUAAUGGUUAUAUGCCGCCCGUCUUGAAACACGGACCA
Molecule: ribosomal RNA, 617 nt
Filed under: Saccharomyces cerevisiae (brewer's yeast)
Lineage: Eukaryota; Fungi; Ascomycota; Saccharomycetes; Saccharomycetales; Saccharomycetaceae
Description: eukaryotic LSU rRNA
Rfam family: Eukaryotic large subunit ribosomal RNA
Source: RNAcentral